UACAGAGGGUGCAAGCGUUAAUCGGAAUGACUGGGCGUAAAGGGCAUGUAGGUGGCUUUAUAAGUUAGAUGUGAAAUCCCCGGGCUUAACCUGGGAACUGCAUUUAAUACUGUAGAGCUAGAGUAUGGGAGAGGGCAGUGGAAUUUCCGGUGUAGCGGUGAAAUGCGUAGAUAUCGGAAGGAACACCAGUGGCGAAGGCGACUGCCUGGCCUGUUACUGACACUGAGAUGCGAAAGCGUGGGGAGCAAACAGG
This 253-nucleotide ribosomal RNA is filed under the name uncultured bacterium. RNAcentral's name for it is "partial 16S ribosomal RNA". It matches the Rfam family "Bacterial small subunit ribosomal RNA", at positions 524 to 776 of the family's 1533-position model. The record is from RNAcentral.